Molecule: ribosomal RNA, 253 nt
Filed under: uncultured bacterium
Lineage: Bacteria
Description: partial 16S ribosomal RNA
Rfam family: Bacterial small subunit ribosomal RNA
Source: RNAcentral
UACGAAGGGGGCUAGCGUUGCUCGGAAUCACUGGGCGUAAAGCGCACGUAGGCGGCUUUCUAAGUCAGGGGUGAAAUCUUGGAGCUCAACUCCAGAACUGCCUUUGAUACUGGAGAGCUUGAGUCCAGAAGAGGUGAGUGGAACUCCGAGUGUAGAGGUGAAAUUCGUAGAUAUUCGGAAGAACACCAGUGGCGAAGGCGGCUCACUGGUCCGGUACUGACGCUGAGGAGCGAAAGCGUGGGGAGCGAACAGG